ACCCUAGCCCCAGAAGAUCAGAUUCAGUUGAUCUGGAUGAGCCUAGGGCUCUACAUUUGCCACAAUCUCCGCAGUGAUCCUGAGGGAGGAGAAACCCCAGGGAAAAUAUGGCUAAUGAGGAUGAAAAAACAGACAAGAGGUGGAACUUCAAUGAAGAGGAAAACUCUUCCUAGCCUUGGUCGAGAGCGAGCACACUAAAACUCUGCCCUGAAAGAGGAAUUGACUCUUGAGCAGAACACAGAAACUGAUAUGGGUGAUGGACCCAACCAAAAGAGAAAGCCCCGAACUCCUGCUCAUCAGAUGGGUGAAGCAGAUGUUCCUGUCUUUCUCAAAGUCUG
Molecule: long non-coding RNA, 338 nt
Filed under: Homo sapiens (human)
Lineage: Eukaryota; Metazoa; Chordata; Mammalia; Primates; Hominidae
Description: HSALNT0322848
Source: RNAcentral